This 343-nucleotide ribosomal RNA is filed under the name Boophis elenae. RNAcentral describes it as "partial 16S ribosomal RNA". It matches the Rfam family "Bacterial large subunit ribosomal RNA", at positions 2080 to 2591 of the family's 2925-position model. The record is from RNAcentral. Lineage: Eukaryota; Metazoa; Chordata; Amphibia; Anura; Mantellidae.
ACGAGAAGACCCCAUGGAGCUUUAAACCCAACAGCACCCGUUUAUUUUCAUCCUCACAUAAGUUAGGUUAUGCCUGUUUGGUUUUAGGUUGGGGUGACCACGGAGUAUAAAACAACCUCCAUGAAAAAAGGACCAAAAAUCCUUAUUAGAGAAAGACAUUUCUAAAAUUAAUAAAUUAAUUUUUAAUGAUCCGAUAUUCGAUCAACGAACCAAGUUACCCUGGGGAUAACAGCGCAAUCCACUUCAAGAGCUCCUAUCGACAAGUGGGUUUACGACCUCGAUGUUGGAUCAGGGUAUCCUAGUGGUGCAGCAGCUACUAACGGUUCGUUUGUUCAACGAUUAA